ACCCGAAGCCGGUGCGCUAACCUCGCAAGAAGAGGCAGCCGUCCACGGUCGGGUCAGCGACUGGGGUGAAGUCGUAACAAGGUAGCCGUAGGUGAACCUGCAGAAGGACA
Molecule: unclassified non-coding RNA, 110 nt
Filed under: uncultured eukaryote
Lineage: Eukaryota
Description: partial contains small subunit ribosomal RNA and internal transcribed spacer 1
Rfam family: Bacterial small subunit ribosomal RNA
Source: RNAcentral